AAGAACAAGGUUCUGCCACUUGGCACCCCCACAUUCAACCAAUACACAUGUCAAAAUUCUAGCCAGUCCACAUCAUCCUAUCCUAGGUGUAAUUUUGUGAGAUUUUUCAAUUUUUGUGUAUUAUUAAUUCUUUCAAAUAUGCUGAAAUGUUUGGGCGGCCAGAUUCUGUGGAUUCAAUUUUUGAAUUUGAAUUCCAUUUACUCAUCCCAAGAAACUCAUUUACACAUGGCAAGUUCCUUUCUUUAUCACCCAGUCAAAACCCUAAUCUCCACUCCAGCAUCAUCUACGACGAUCCUCCUCUUUCACUCAGAUAUUCAAAACACCCAAAGCCGCUCAUGAUUUCAACCUCUUAACUUCGUCUUCUUCAAUACAAAUUCGGUCGUCCAUCUUGCUGAGACAAACACAGUCCAAACCCUAGCGAAGAGAUAUCGGUUCACCCGUUUCGAUUCAGGUGACUCCAAGAGUUCAUCUGAUGGUAAAAAACCAGUGCAGUUACAGGUUGUGUGCUCUUUGCAAUAUGCUACACAGGAGUUUAGAGGUCAUCUUGAGCUCAAGUUUGCAAAUCAAUUGAAAGAUGGAAGCAUGGCAGAUAAUCCAGGUCUUUUCUAUUGGUUACUGUGCAGAUAAUCCAGGUCUUUUAAAAACGCAGAUACGAGACUUAUGUUCUUGCAUAUGCAGUUUGAUGUUAAAUACUGAGGCACAUAAUCCAAUGGCGUAUCCAAAAAUGACUAAACCCGAGUUUGUGCGAAUGAACCUUGAGCGUUGUAUAUAAAGAAUACGACACGGAAUGUUGUAUAUAAAGAACUUUUUAGAGAUUUGUAAUUUGUAUUUGUAUCUAUAGAUUUCUUAGGUGUGAUAGUAAAUAUGAUAUGUAAUUAUAUAUAAAUCUUGUGCUACAUUGGAUUUUAUGUUGUUUUGUUAUUAAGAACAAUAUAAUCACAUCUGUUGGUCUUCA
Molecule: long non-coding RNA, 955 nt
Organism: Helianthus annuus (common sunflower)
Lineage: Eukaryota; Viridiplantae; Streptophyta; Magnoliopsida; Asterales; Asteraceae
Exons: 4
Source: RefSeq, a predicted model, not a curated record